AGUGCCUGAAGUCAAGCAAGAUUACCCGCUGAACUUAAGCAUAUUACUAAGCGGAGGAAAAGAAACUAACCAGGAUUGCCUUAGUAACGGCGAGUGAACCGGCAUCAGCCCAGACUGGAAAUCGCUUCGGCGAGUUGUACAGUUGAGACAUAGACCUUACACAGCGGAGCAGGUGUAACUCAGUUGGAACGCUGGACCGUAGAGGGUGAUAGUCCCGUGCCACUUGUUCCAAGUGAGAGGUCCGUGUUCCACGAGUCGGGUAGCUUGGGAUUGCUGCCCAAAGUGGGAGGUAGACUUCUUCUAAGGCUAAAUACUCACAAGAGACCGAUAGCGAACAAGUACUGUGAAGGAAAU
RNAcentral lists this ribosomal RNA (354 nucleotides) under Blepharisma japonicum. RNAcentral's name for it is "LSU rRNA". It matches the Rfam family "Eukaryotic large subunit ribosomal RNA", at positions 1 to 363 of the family's 3401-position model. The record is from RNAcentral. Lineage: Eukaryota; Ciliophora; Heterotrichea; Heterotrichida; Blepharismidae.